UUAACAACACAGGAGAAUAUAACAGAGGCUGACAACAAAGGAGAAUAUAACAGGGUUAACAACACAGGAGAAUAUAACAGAGAGACUGACAACACAGGAGAAUAUAACAGAGAGACUGACAACACAGGAGAAUAUAACAGGGUUAACAGAGAGACUGACAACACAGGAGAAUAUAACAGGGUUAACAACACAGGAGAAUAUAACAGAGAGACUGACAACACAGGAGAAUAUAACAGAGAGACUGACAACACAGGAGAAUAUAACAGAGACUGACAACACAGGAGAAUAUAACAGAGAGACUGACAACACAGGAGAAUAUAACAGGGUUAACAACACAGGAGAAUAUAACAGGGAGACUGACAACACAGGAGAAUAUAACAGGGUUAACAACACAGGAGAAUAUAACAGAGAGACUGACAACACAGGAGAAUAUAACAGAGAGACUGACAACACAGGAGAAUAUAACAGAGAGGCUGACAACAGAGGACAAUAUAACAGAGAGACUGACAACACAGGAGAAUAUAACAGGGUUAACAACACAGGAGAAUAUAACAGAGAGACUGACAACACAGGAGAAUAUAACAGGGUUAACAGAGAGACUGACAACACAGGAGAAUAUAACAGGGUUAACAACACAGGAGAAUAUAACAGAGAGACUGACAACACAGGAGAAUAUAACAGGGUUAACAACACAGGAGAAUAUAACAGAGACUGACAACACAGGAGAAUAUAACAGAGAGACUGACAACACAGGAGAAUAUAACAGAGUUAACAGAGAGACUGACAACACAGGAGAAUAUAACAGAGAGGCUGACAACACAGGAGAAUAUAACAGGGUGAGAUCCACAUUAACACAGGAAACUCAGUCCAAAACAGAUCAGAUCAGCACAUAGCCUCUCUGCAUGGGGGUAGAAGGUGACUGUUGACCCAGGGUUUAGAGUAUUCCCUCAGCAGUAGAAGGUGACCCAGGGUUUAGAGUAUUCCCUCAGCAGUAGAAGGUGACCCAGGGUUUAGAGUAUUCCCUCAGCAGUAGAAGGUGACCCAGGGUUUAGAGUAUUCCCUCAGCAGUAGAAGGUGACCCAGGGUUUAGAGUAUUCCCUCAGCAGUAGAAGGUGACCCAGGGUUUAGAGUAUUCCCUCAGCAGUAGAAGGUGACCCAGGGUUUAGAGUAUUCCCUCAGCAGUAGAAGGUGACCCAGGGUUUAGAGUAUUCCCUCAGCAGUAGAAGGUGACCCAGGGUUUAGAGUAUUCCCUCAGCAGUAGAAGGUGACCCAGGGUUUAGAGUAUUCCCUCAGCAGUAGAAGGUGACCCAGGGUUUAGAGUAUUCCCUCAGCAGUAGAAGGUGACCCAGGGUUUAGAGUAUUCCCUCAGCAGUAGAAGGUGACUGUUGACCCAGGGUUUAGAGUAUUCCCUCAGCAGUAGAAGGUGACUGUUGACCCAGGGUUUAGAGUAUUCCCUCAGCAGUAGAAGGUGACCCAGGGUUUAGAGUAUUCCCUCACCAGUAGAAGUGGAUGGCACAGACAGUGUGUGUGGACAUGGUGUCAGAUGGUGCCUGUUAAAGAGUCCUGUCUCACCAGUAGAAGUGGAUGGCACAGACAGUGUGUGUGGACAUGGUGUCAGAUGGUGCCUGUUAAAGA
Oncorhynchus keta (chum salmon) is the source of this 1635-nucleotide long non-coding RNA. RefSeq lists it as uncharacterized. The transcript has 5 exons. Lineage: Eukaryota; Metazoa; Chordata; Actinopteri; Salmoniformes; Salmonidae. The record is from RefSeq and is a predicted model, not a curated record.